GACGAACGCUGGCGGCGUGCUUAACACAUGCAAGUCGAGCGGUAAGGCCCUUUCGGGGGUACACGAGCGGCGAACGGGUGAGUAACACGUGGGUGACCUGCCCUCAGCUCUGGGAUAAGCCUGGGAAACCGGGUCUAAUACUGGAUAUGACUCCAUGACGCAUGUUGUGGGGUGGAAAGCCUUGUGCGGCUGAGGAUGGGGCCCGCGGCCUAUCAGCUUGUUGGUGGGGUGANGGGCCUACCAAGGCGACGACGGGUAGCCGGCCUGAGAGGGCGACCGGCCACACUGGGACUGAGACACGGCCAGACUCCUACGGGAGGCAGCAGUGGGGAAUCUUGCGCAAUGGGCGAAAGCCUGACGCAGCGACG
RNAcentral lists this ribosomal RNA (368 nucleotides) under uncultured bacterium. RNAcentral's name for it is "bacterial SSU rRNA". It matches the Rfam family "Bacterial small subunit ribosomal RNA", at positions 28 to 396 of the family's 1533-position model. The record is from RNAcentral.